UCUUGAAGAAUGUAGAAGAAAGUCCAAUAAAGCGUGCAUCAGAAGAAUCCUGAGUGUUGCGUGCUCCUUGCUGGCGAGGUGCGCGCGACAAAAAUCUUCCAUUUCCAUGUCUGUCAAAGAAAAUCAAGACAUAAACACCAAGAGGCUUCCACGACUCUGGGCUCAGAAGCUCAGCGAGGCUCCAGGAGCUUGUCGGACAGCGAGAGUCACCCAGGAAGGAACACACCAGGCAAGUUGGCAAAUAGACCUUUAUUAGUCUGGCCAGAUGGCACUCCCCAAGCCAAGUAGCUCAGAGAGGCUGCUAGCUCAGAGACAGAGGCCAUUUUAUAUAGGGCUGGGGGGGGGGGGGCUACACUUAAAACUUACAGGAAGAGGACAAAGGCAAAGAAUCAGUUGAUCUGAGCUAGUGGUCAUCAAGCACAUACUUGACCCUCACGUACUAAUGAUCAGCAGAUCGAUUAUCCAUUAUUCCAUUUACAACUUAGAUUAUAAUGUUCAGAACAUUCAACUACAGGCAAGUAAGGAGUGACGUGAUUCGUGUUGGGUCUCUGUGUUCACUACAGUUUCCAUUUAGUUUCCCAGCUACUUCAAAGCAGUUACCUAACAAUUCACAAUUAAUCAUUAGUUAUCCUAUAA
Molecule: long non-coding RNA, 636 nt
Filed under: Fukomys damarensis (Damara mole-rat)
Lineage: Eukaryota; Metazoa; Chordata; Mammalia; Rodentia; Bathyergidae
Description: lncRNA (ENSFDAG00000023021.1)
Source: RNAcentral